GGCGCUGUAGCUUAGUGGUUGAAGAGCCGGUCUCAUAAACAGGAGAUCCUGGGUUCAAAUCCCAGCAGUGCCU
This 73-nucleotide transfer RNA is filed under the name Perca fluviatilis (European perch). It matches the Rfam family "tRNA". From Rfam's summary of the family: Transfer RNA (tRNA) molecules are approximately 80 nucleotides in length. Their secondary structure includes four short double-helical elements and three loops (D, anti-codon, and T loops). Further hydrogen bonds mediate the characteristic L-shaped molecular structure. tRNAs have two regions of fundamental functional importance: the anti-codon, which is responsible for specific mRNA codon recognition, and the 3' end, to which the tRNAs corresponding amino acid is attached (by aminoacyl-tRNA synthetases). tRNAs cope with the degeneracy of the genetic code in two manners: having more than one tRNA (with a specific anti-codon) for a particular amino acid; and 'wobble' base-pairing, i.e. permitting non-standard base-pairing at the 3rd anti-codon position. The record is from Rfam by way of RNAcentral. Lineage: Eukaryota; Metazoa; Chordata; Actinopteri; Perciformes; Percidae.